Molecule: long non-coding RNA, 3564 nt
Filed under: Citrus x clementina
Lineage: Eukaryota; Viridiplantae; Streptophyta; Magnoliopsida; Sapindales; Rutaceae
Description: Citrus clementina (C. clementina) long non-coding RNA (CCLE_LNC002187)
Source: RNAcentral
UUUUUGGCACACAGAGGGGCCUUGCAAAGUCUCGUGCCAUUCCAAGUCCGGCGGACGAAGUUGGCCGGCCCCACCCCCCAAGGCUAUAGCCCACCCGUAUUUGUGGCCUUUUUCCGCAGGACGAACUUGGGGCCCCGGCCUUUGGGCGGUUAUUUUUGGGCGCGGCUGCGUCCGCGGCCUAUUUUUUGCACACGGAGGUGCCUCACAAAGUCUCGCGCCCUUCCGAGUCCGGCGGGCGCAGUUGGGCAGCCCCACCCCCCAACGCUAUAGCCCACCCCUAUUUGUGGCCUUUUUCUGCUGGACGAACUUGGCGCUCCGGCCUUCGGGCGGUUAUUUUUGGGCAUGGCUGUGCCCGUGGCCUAUUUUUGGCACAUGGAGGUGCCUCGAAAAGUCUCGCGCCAUUCCGAGUCCGACGGACGAAGUAGGCCAGCCCCAACCCGUAUUUGUGGCCUUUUUCCGCAGGACGAACUUGGCGCCCCGGCCUACGGGCGGUUAUUUUUGGGCGCGGCUGUGCCCGUGGCCUAUUUUUGGCACGCGGAGGGGCCUCGCAAAGUCUCGCGCCAUUCCGAGUCCGGCGGACGAAGUUGGCCAGCCCCACCCCCCAAGGCUAUAGCCCACCCGUUUUUGAGGCCUUUUUCCGCUGGACGAACUUGGCACCCCGGCCUUCGGGCGGUUAUUUUUGGGCGCGGCUGUGCCCGCGGCCUAUUUUUGGCACACGGAUCCGCCUCGCAAAGGCUCGCGCCAUUCCGAGUCCGGCGGACGAAGUGGGCCAACCCCACCCCCCAAGGCUAUAGCCCACCCGUUUUUGUGGCCUUUUUCCGCUGGACGAAAUUGGCGCCCCGGCCUUCGGGCGGUUAUUUUUGGGCGCGGCUGUGCCCGCGGCCUACUUUUGUCACGCGGAGGCGCCUCGCAAAGUCUCGCGGCAUUCCGAGUCCGGCGGACGAAGUCGGCCAGCCCCACCCCCCAAGGCUAUAGCCCACCCGUUUUUGUGGCCUUUUUCCGCUGGACGAACUUGGCGCCUCGGCCUUCGGGUGGUUAUUCUUGGGCCCAGCUGUGCCCGUGGCCUAAUUUUGGCACUCGGAGGCACCUCGCAAAGUCUCGCGCCAUUCCGGGUCCGGCGGACGAAGGUGGCCAGCCCCAACCCCCAAGGCUAUAGCCCACCCGUUUUUGUCGCCUCUUUCCGCUUGACGAACUUGGCGCCCCGGCCUUCGGGCGGUUAUUUUUGGGCGCGGCUGUGCUCGCGGCCUAUUUUUGGCACACGGAUCCGCCUCGCAAAGGCUCGCGCCAUUCCGAGUCCGGCGGACGAAGUGGGCCAGCCCCACCCCCCAAGGCUAUAGCCCACCCGUUUUUGUGGCCUUUUUCCGCUGGACGAAAUUGGCGCCCCGGCCUUCGGGCGGUUAUUUUUGGGCGCGGCUGUGCCCGCGGCCUAUUUUUGUCACGCGGAGGUGCCUCGCAAAGUCUCGCGGCAUUCCGAGUCCGGCGGACGAAGUCGGCCAGCCCCACCCCCCAAGGCUAUAGCCCACCCGUUUUUGUGGCCUUUUUCCGCUGGACGAAUUUGGCGCCCCGGCCUUCGGGCGGUUAUUUUUGGGCGUGGCUGUGCCCGCGGCCUAUUUUUGGAACACGGAGGCGCCUCGCAAAGUCUCACGCCAUUCCGAGGCCGGCGGACGAAGUUGGCCAGCCCCACCCCCCAAGGCUAUAGCCCACCCGUAUUUGUGGCCUUUUUCCGCUGGACGAACCUGGCGCCCCGGCCUUCAGGCGGUUAUUUUUGGGCGCGGCUGUGCCCGCGGCCUAUUUUUUUCGCAUGGAGGAGUCUCGCAAAGUCUCGCGCCAUUCCGAGUCCGGCGGACGAAGUUGGCCAGCCCCAACCCCCAAGGCUAUAGCCCACCCGUUUUUGUGGCCUUUUUCCGCUGGACGAACUUGGCGCCCCGGCCUUCAGGCGGUUAUUUUUGGGCGCGGCUGUGCCCGCGGCCUAUUUUUUUCGCACGGAGGAGUCUCGCAAAGUCUCGCGGCAUUCCGAGUCCGGCGGACGAAGUUGGCCAGCCCCACCCCCCCAAGGCUAUAGCCCACCCGUUUUUGUGGCCUUUUUCCGCAAGACGAACUUGACGGCCCGGCCUUCGGGAGGUUAUUUUUGGGCACGGCUGUGCCCGCGGUCUAUUUUUUUCGCACGGAGGAGUCUUGCAAAAUCUCGCGGCAUUUCGAGUCUGGCGGACGAAGUUGGCCAGCCCCACCCCCCCAAGGCUAUAGCCCACCCGUUUUUGUGCCCUUUUUCCGCUGGACGAACUUGGCGUCCCGGCCUUUGGGCGGUUAUUUUUGGCCGCGGCUGUGGCCGCGGCCUAUUUUUGGCACACGGAGGCACUUCACAAAAUCUCGCGCCAUUCCGAGUCCGGCGGACGAAGUUGGCCAGCCCCACCCCCCAAGGCUAUAGCCCACCCGUUUUUGUGGCCUUUUUACGCUGGACGAACUUGGCGCCCCGGCCUUUGGGCAGUUAUGUUUUCCCGCGGCUGUGCCCGCGGCCUAUUUUUAGCACACGGAGGCGCCUCGCAAAGUCUCGCGCCAUUCCGAGUCCGGCGGACGAAGUUGGCCAGCCGCACCCCCCAAGGCUAUAGCCCACCCGUUUUUGUGGCCUUUUUCCGCUGGACGAACUUGACGGCCCGGCCUUUGGGAAGUUAUUAUUGGGCGCGGCUGUGCCCACGGCCUAUUUUUGGCACACGGAGGCGCCUCACAUAGUCUCGCGCUAUUCCGAGUCUGGCGGACGGAGUUGGCCAGCCCCACACCCCAAGGCUAUAGCCCACCCGUUUUUAUGGCCUUUUUCCGCUGGGCGAAUUUGGCGUCCCGGCCUUCGGGCUGUUAAUUUUGGGCGCUGCUGUGCCCGCGGCCUAUUUUUGGCACACGGAGUUGCCUCGCAAAGUCUGAUGCCAUUCCGAGUCCGGCGGACGAAGUUGGCCAGCCCCACCCCCCAAGGCUAUAGCCCACCCGUUUUUGUGGCCUUUUUCCGCUGGACGAACUUGGCGCCCCGGCCUUCGGGCUGUUAUUUUUGGGUGCGGCUGUUCCCGCGGCCUAUUUUUGGCACACGGAGGUGCCUCGCAAAGUCUCGCGCCAUUCCGAGUUCGGCGGACGAAGUUGGCCAGCUCCACCCCCCAAGGCUAUAGCCCACCCGUUUUUGUGGCCUUUUUCCGCUGGACGAACUUGGCGCCCCUGUCUUCGGGCGGUUAUUUUUCGGCGCGGCUGUGCCCGCGUCCUAUAUUUUGCACACGGAGGCACCCCGCAAAGUCUCGCGUCACUCCGAGUCCGGCGGACGAAGUUGGCCAGCCCCACCCCCCAAGGCUAUAGCCCACCCGUUUUUGUGGCCUUUUUCCGCUGGAUGAACUUGGCGACCCGGCCUUCAAGCUGUUAUUUUUGGGCGCGGCUGUGCCCGUGGCCUAUUUUUGGCACACGGAGGUGCCUCGCAAACUCUCGCGCCAUUCCGAGUCCGGCGGACGAAGUUGGCAAGCCCCACCCCCCAAGGCUAUAGCCCACCCGUAUUUGUGGCCUUUUUCAGCGGGACGAACUUGGCGCCCCGGUCUU